RNAcentral lists this transfer RNA (82 nucleotides) under Rickettsiales bacterium. RNAcentral's name for it is "tRNA-Ser". It matches the Rfam family "tRNA". From Rfam's summary of the family: Transfer RNA (tRNA) molecules are approximately 80 nucleotides in length. The record is from RNAcentral. Lineage: Bacteria; Pseudomonadati; Pseudomonadota; Alphaproteobacteria; Rickettsiales.
GGGCAGAUGUCCGAGGGGUCAAAGGAGGCGGUUUUGAAAACCGUUAUGAAAUCAUGCAUGGGUUCGAAUCCCAUUCUGCCCG